UGCAGUCGAGCGAACUGACGAGGAGCUUGCUCCUUUGACGUUAGCGGCGGACGGGUGAGUAACACGUGGGUAACCUACCUAUAAGACUGGAAUAACUCCGGGAAACCGGGGCUAAUGCCGGAUAACAUAUCGAACCGCAUGGUUCGAUAGUGAAAGACGGUCUUGCUGUCACUUAUAGAUGGACCCGCGCCGUAUUAGCUAGUUGGUGAGGUAACGGCUCACCAAGGCGACGAUACGUAGCCGACCUGAGAGGGUGAUCGGCCACACUGGAACUGAGACACGGUCCAGACUCCUACGGGAGGCAGCAGUAGGGAAUCUUCCGCAAUGGGCGAAAGCCUGACGGAGCAACGCCGCGUGAGUGAUGAAGGUCUUCGGAUCGUAAAGCUCUGUUGUUAGGGAAGAACAAAUGUGUAAGUAACUGUGCACAUCUUGACGGUACCUAACCAGAAAGCCACGGCUAACUACGUGCCAGCAGCCGCGGUAAUACGUAGGUGGCAAGCGUUAUCCGGAAUUAUUGGGCGUAAAGCGCGCGUAGGCGGUUUUUUAAGUCUGAUGUGAAAGCCCACGGCUCAACCGUGGAGGGUCAUUGGAAACUGGAAAACUUGAGUGCAGAAGAGGAAAGUGGAAUUCCAUGUGUAGCGGUGAAAUGCGCAGAGAUAUGGAGGAACACCAGUGGCGAAGGCGGCUUUCUGGUCUGUAACUGACGCUGAUGUG
RNAcentral lists this ribosomal RNA (714 nucleotides) under Staphylococcus chromogenes. Its description in RNAcentral is "bacterial SSU rRNA". It matches the Rfam family "Bacterial small subunit ribosomal RNA", at positions 56 to 753 of the family's 1533-position model. The record is from RNAcentral. Lineage: Bacteria; Bacillati; Bacillota; Bacilli; Caryophanales; Staphylococcaceae.